RNAcentral lists this ribosomal RNA (539 nucleotides) under uncultured marine bacterium. Its description in RNAcentral is "bacterial SSU rRNA". It matches the Rfam family "Bacterial small subunit ribosomal RNA", at positions 8 to 526 of the family's 1533-position model. The record is from RNAcentral.
AGAGUUUGAUCCUGGCUCAGAUUGAGCGCUGGCGGCAGGCCUAACACAUGCAAGUCGAGCGGAAACGACAACAUUGAAUCUUCGGAGGAUUUGUUGGGCGUCGAGCGGCGGACGGGUGAGUAAUGCCUAGGAAAUUGCCUUGAUGUGGGGGAUAACCAUUGGAAACGAUGGCUAAUACCGCAUAAUGCCUACGGGCCAAAGAGGGGGAUCUUCGGACCUCUCGCGUCAAGAUAUGCCUAGGUGGGAUUAGCUAGUUGGUGAGGUAAUGGCUCACCAAGGCGACGAUCCCUAGCUGGUCUGAGAGGAUGAUCAGCCACACUGGAACUGAGACACGGUCCAGACUCCUACGGGAGGCAGCAGUGGGGAAUAUUGCACAAUGGGCGAAAGCCUGAUGCAGCCAUGCCGCGUGUAUGAAGAAGGCCUUCGGGUUGUAAAGUACUUUCAGUUGUGAGGAAAGGUGUGUAGUUAAUAGCUGCGCAUCUUGACGUUAGCAACAGAAGAAGCACCGGCUAACUCCGUGCCAGCAGCCGCGGUAAUAC